Portunus trituberculatus (swimming crab) is the source of this 69-nucleotide small nucleolar RNA. The record is from RefSeq and is a predicted model, not a curated record. NCBI's taxonomy places the organism in Eukaryota, Metazoa, Arthropoda, Malacostraca, Decapoda, Portunidae.
AAACAGACAUGAUGAUAUUAUACCGCCCCAGUCUGAUGAUGUGAGUGAUUUGGUGGGUUCUGAAAGUUU